This 64-nucleotide transfer RNA is filed under the name marine eukaryotic metagenome. It matches the Rfam family "tRNA", at positions 5 to 66 of the family's 71-position model. Rfam says of the family: Transfer RNA (tRNA) molecules are approximately 80 nucleotides in length. Their secondary structure includes four short double-helical elements and three loops (D, anti-codon, and T loops). Further hydrogen bonds mediate the characteristic L-shaped molecular structure. tRNAs have two regions of fundamental functional importance: the anti-codon, which is responsible for specific mRNA codon recognition, and the 3' end, to which the tRNAs corresponding amino acid is attached (by aminoacyl-tRNA synthetases). tRNAs cope with the degeneracy of the genetic code in two manners: having more than one tRNA (with a specific anti-codon) for a particular amino acid; and 'wobble' base-pairing, i.e. permitting non-standard base-pairing at the 3rd anti-codon position. The record is from RNAcentral.
GCAUAGCUCAGUUGGUAGAGCACCUGAUUUGUAAUCAGGAUGUCGUUGGUUCGACUCCGACUGC